Momordica charantia (bitter melon) is the source of this 547-nucleotide non-coding RNA. The record is from RefSeq and is a predicted model, not a curated record. NCBI's taxonomy places the organism in Eukaryota, Viridiplantae, Streptophyta, Magnoliopsida, Cucurbitales, Cucurbitaceae.
UCAUAAAAAAUAAUUCCAUUUGUGAGCUUGGAAAAUCAGUGGAAGUUGCAUUUCCCAAGUGGAAAACAAAAAUGAGGUCCAAAGCUGUUGCGUUUGCUUGUAUAUUAUUUAUCUCUACUGUUGUUAUUUCAUCGGCAGUGUCUGAAGGAACUCAAGAGCAGAAUGAGUUGAAUAUGAAAAUCUAGUAGAAGAAUCAAAGCAAGUUUGCUCUUAUGGAUGCUGCCAAGUUAUUGGUCAUUAUUGUGUCAAAUGCUGUCCUGGUCCUGCAGAAGUAGAUGCCACCGUCGAAAACCAAAAUGAGAACACAAUAGAAGAGAGUGAAGUGGAGACAAACGGAUUCAUAGGCAAAGGUGGAAAAGGAGGCAAAGGGAGAGGUGGGAAGUGAUCAAUGGAGGCUGUUUAAUAUAGUCACAAAGUUGUAGUUGUAGGGUACCUUACCUUAAUGUUAGGGGUACCAUAUACCCAAUAAAUAAGCAAAAAUAAAAAUUGAAGCAAGGGAUAUGGUGGGCUAGAAUAGAAGGGUUGGAAUAUCCCUUUACCAAUGUAA